RNAcentral lists this long non-coding RNA (303 nucleotides) under Elaeis guineensis (African oil palm). Its description in RNAcentral is "long non-coding RNA (EGUI_LNC001317)". The record is from RNAcentral. Lineage: Eukaryota; Viridiplantae; Streptophyta; Magnoliopsida; Arecales; Arecaceae.
GAAGACUGUAGAGUUAACCCUACAUCACUGGAUGGACAUGGACUGGCGAAUUAUAUUUUUGACAAGGAUAUACGUGCAUAACUUCAAUCAUCUUAACCAUCCCAACUUUUUGUGGUUGGUUAUGUACAUGCAAAAAGGCAUAUCUCUGAGAGCAUAUAUUAAAAAAUUUUUUAAAGGCAUUAUUGUUUUAGGUGAUCAAAAAGAUCCUAAAUUCAACACUUUUAUCAGAAUGAAGAAAAGCAGGUGGGGAAUCAUGCAUCAAGGAAAGUUCCGAUCUAUAUUUUUUACCAGGUAGAAGCUCAC